CGCGUGGGAACCUGCCCUGUGGUACGGAAUAACUCCGGGAAACUGGAGCUAAUACCGUAUGCGUCCUUUGGGACAAAGAUUUAUCGCCAUGGGAUGGGCCCGCGUAGGAUUAGCUUGUUGGUGGGGUAACGGCCUACCAAGGCAACGAUCCUUAGCUGGUCUGAGAGGAUGAUCAGCCACACUGGGACUGAGACACGGCCCAGACUCCUACGGGAGGCAGCAGUGGGGAAUAUUGGACAAUGGAGGCAACUCUGAUCCAGCCAUGCCGCGUGAAGGAUGACUGCCCUAUGGGUUGUAAAC
Molecule: ribosomal RNA, 300 nt
Filed under: uncultured Skermanella sp.
Lineage: Bacteria; Pseudomonadati; Pseudomonadota; Alphaproteobacteria; Rhodospirillales; Azospirillaceae
Description: bacterial SSU rRNA
Rfam family: Bacterial small subunit ribosomal RNA
Source: RNAcentral